Molecule: small RNA, 77 nt
Filed under: Xanthomonas campestris
Lineage: Bacteria; Pseudomonadati; Pseudomonadota; Gammaproteobacteria; Lysobacterales; Lysobacteraceae
Also listed under: 2 other names
Description: sRNA sX9
Rfam family: Xanthomonas sRNA sX9
Source: RNAcentral
AUGUACGACACGUACACCCCGCUUUACUCCGCAUCGUCCGUAUCCGCCUGACAGCCACGCUCUAAGUCUUGUCAGCC